RNAcentral lists this ribosomal RNA (552 nucleotides) under Triticum aestivum (bread wheat). Its description in RNAcentral is "partial small subunit ribosomal RNA". Lineage: Eukaryota; Viridiplantae; Streptophyta; Magnoliopsida; Poales; Poaceae. The record is from RNAcentral.
GUGGCUAAUAGGCGCUGUAGAAAACAUUCCAUGAUCCCGCUUGAAUGCGGGCUUGUGAUUAUAGAAGGGACCAAAAACAUAUUAUCCCAUGCCACUAAGUAUUAUAAAAAACUUUUUGGGCCGGCUCCUGGCAAUCUAUGCCAGAUUGAUGCAGACUUAUAGUCUCAAGAUGAGAAAAUUUCUCCUGCGGAUAAUGAUGACUUGACUCGACCUUUUUCUCUUGAUGAGAUUAAAAAAGCUCUUUUUGAAAUGAGAUCUAACCGUGCCCCUGGCCCGGACGACAUCCCUGUUGAAUUUUAUCAACAUUGCUGGGAUGUGGUUGGUCGAGACCUAUUUUGCAUGUUUGAAUGCUUAUAUGAGGGCAGGCUGGAUGUGCAACGCCUGAACUAUGGCAUUAUAACUCUGUUACCUAAGUCAACAGAUGCUAGAAAAAUCCAGCAGCAUAGACCCAUUUGCUCGUUACGUUGCCCAUACAAGAUGAUCACUAAAGUCAUGGACAUUAGGGUUAGCAAGUAUGCUCAUAAACUAUUUAGUAUUCAAUGCUUUCACUAA